This 484-nucleotide ribosomal RNA is filed under the name uncultured bacterium. Its description in RNAcentral is "partial 16S ribosomal RNA". It matches the Rfam family "Bacterial small subunit ribosomal RNA", at positions 29 to 507 of the family's 1533-position model. The record is from RNAcentral.
AUUGAACGCUGGCGGCAUGCUUUACACAUGCAAGUCGAACGGCAGCGCGGGCUUCGGCCUGGCGGCGAGUGGCGAACGGGUGAGUAAUGCAUCGGAACGUGCCCAGUAGUGGGGGAUAGCCCGGCGAAAGCCGGAUUAAUACCGCAUACGACCUGAGGGUGAAAGCGGGGGACCGAAAGGCCUCGCGCUAUUGGAGCGGCUGAUGUCGGAUUAGCUAGUUGGUGGGGUAAAGGCUUACCAAGGCGACGAUCCGUAGCUGGUCUGAGAGGACGACCAGCCACACUGGGACUGAGACACGGCCCAGACUCCUACGGGAGGCAGCAGUGGGGAAUUUUGGACAAUGGGGGCAACCCUGAUCCAGCCAUGCCGCGUGCGAGAAGAAGGCCUUCGGGUUGUAAACCGCUUUUGUUCGGGAAGAAAUCCUCUGGGCUAAUACCCCGGGGGGAUGACGGUACCGGAAGAAUAAGCACCGGCUAACUACGUG